RNAcentral lists this ribosomal RNA (741 nucleotides) under uncultured bacterium. Its description in RNAcentral is "bacterial SSU rRNA". It matches the Rfam family "Bacterial small subunit ribosomal RNA", at positions 94 to 823 of the family's 1533-position model. The record is from RNAcentral.
AGCGGCGGACGGGUGAGUAACACGUGGUAACCUGCCCAAGAGACUGGGAUAACACCUGGAAACAGAUGCUAAUACCGGAUAACAACACUAGACGCAUGUCUAGAGCUUGAAAGAUGGUUCUGCUAUCACUCUUGGAUGGACCUGCGGUGCAUUAGCUAGUUGGUAAGGUAACGGCUUACCAAGGCAAUGAUGCAUAGCCGAGUUGAGAGACUGAUCGGCCACAUUGGGACUGAGACACGGCCCAAACUCCUACGGGAGGCAGCAGUAGGGAAUCUUCCACAAUGGACGAAAGUCUGAUGGAGCAACGCCGCGUGAGUGAAGAAGGGUUUCGGCUCGUAAAGCUCUGUUGGUAGUGAAGAAAGAUAGAGGUAGUAACUGGCCUUUAUUUGACGGUAAUUACUUAGAAAGUCACGGCUAACUACGUGCCAGCAGCCGCGGUAAUACGUAGGUGGCAAGCGUUGUCCGGAUUUAUUGGGCGUAAAGCGAGUGCAGGCGGUUCAAUAAGUCUGAUGUGAAAGCCUUCGGCUCAACCGGAGAAUUGCAUCAGAAACUGUUGAACUUGAGUGCAGAAGAGGAGAGUGGAACUCCAUGUGUAGCGGUGGAAUGCGUAGAUAUAUGGAAGAACACCAGUGGCGAAGGCGGCUCUCUGGUCUGCAACUGACGCUGAGGCUCGAAAGCAUGGGUAGCGAACAGGAUUAGAUACCCUGGUAGUCCAUGCCGUAAACGAUGAGUGCUAAGUGU